AGCUUGCUACUUCGGCGUCGAGCGGCGGACGGGUGAGUAAUGCUUGGGAAUAUGCCUUUGAGUGGGGGACAACAGUUGGAAACGACUGCUAAUACCGCAUAAUGUCUACGGACCAAAGGGGGGGACGCUUCGGCACCUCUCGCUCAUAGAUUAGCCCAAGUGAGAUUAGCUAGUUGGUAAGGUAAAGGCUUACCAAGGCGACGAUCUCUAGCUGGUUUGAGAGGAUGAUCAGCCACACUGGAACUGGAACACGGACCAGACUCCUACGGGAGGCAGCAGUGAGGAAUAUUGCGCAAUGGGGGAAACCCUGACGCAGCGACGCCGCGUGGAUGAUGAAGGCCUUCGGGUCGUAAAAUCCUGUCAGAUGGGAAGAAAUGCAUAUGAACUAAUACUUCUUAUGUUUGACGUACCAUCAAAGAAGCACCGCUAACU
This 432-nucleotide ribosomal RNA is filed under the name uncultured bacterium. Its description in RNAcentral is "bacterial SSU rRNA". It matches the Rfam family "Bacterial small subunit ribosomal RNA", at positions 77 to 502 of the family's 1533-position model. The record is from RNAcentral.